RNAcentral lists this long non-coding RNA (935 nucleotides) under Populus tremula. RNAcentral's name for it is "long non-coding RNA (PTRE_LNC003110)". Lineage: Eukaryota; Viridiplantae; Streptophyta; Magnoliopsida; Malpighiales; Salicaceae. The record is from RNAcentral.
UAGAUAUUUUCGGUGGUGGUGGCUAUAAAUAAGAGUGCAGAGAAGAGGCAAUAGCCAUUUUAAACACAAAGUAAUAUUUCCAAGAUGAAGGCCUUUCUUAUCAUAUGCAUUCUCUUGGCUACCGUUGCCUUCUCUCCCUUUUCCACGAGCACUGCCCUAGAAUUAUCCCAUAAAGGUGAAGAACCCACCUUCUCUAUCUGCUUUCGUUUCCAUUGAUCUUAUGAUUUAAGAUAAUCAUGUACCUAGCUAGUUCAUAUUUAUUUGAAUAUAUGUUCAGAUAACAGUUCAUAUGUAAGUGUAUGUUCAUGUAUAACGCUGCAUCUAUGCCUGCUUUGAUUUCUGAGCUGGUCCUCCAUCUUUUGCUUUCUCCUCUGUUAACAGUAUUUUCAUCACCGCACCGUAUAUUUACUGAGUUUGUGAUAAUUUUCAUAGCACGUUAACACGUGUGAGUAAAUCUUGCAGGUCCAUACAGGACACAUGACGCUUCCAUGCAACAAGGUGGCCCGGUGAAGCCACCACGUGGCCCACGUCCCCCGGGGAAGCCACCACGUGGCCCGGGGAAGCCACCACGUGGCCCGGGGAAUCCACCACGUGGCCUGGACAAUCGACCAUUGAGAUGCCACCUCCCGGGUCACAGUAAUGCGCACACUUGGAAUUGUGAAAUGCCUUGAGAAUGGAACACUACGGAUUAGAAGGCAGUAAAGUGUCGACCGACAGCUAGUAGUAUCUUUAUUAACAUGGUAAUCUGAUAUGAGAAUAUUUUAUGUAAGAAAAAUAAACUAUGAUGUAUGAUCAUGAGGUUUUAAUUUCUGUCGGGUUUUAUAUUGUAUUAUCGUAAUGAAGUUGAUGCAAUAUAAAUAAAGUGUUUAAUUAGCUAGACUAUAUAUCUUCUCUGUUGUUCAUAUGAGUGCUAUACAUGUUUUUUUUUUUUUUUU